CACGAUGACCAAAUCGACCAGAACGACCGAUGCGGUGCAAAUAAGUUUCGGCGUUCUUCGGAAAAUCAAAAUUGAUGACAACAUUUACAGCUUGGAUAUCAAUACCACGAGUCAACAGAUCAGAACAAACCAAAUUGCGGCAAACGCCAUUUCUAAAAUUAUGAAAAACACGGUUUCUAUGAGACUGUAACAUUUUAGCAUGAGAAUAAAAGCAUGAAUAUCCAAGUUCAGUAAUUUUUUUGGCAAGUAACUCGACACGGUUAGUGGAGUUACAGAAUAUGA
This is a non-coding RNA of Schizosaccharomyces pombe (fission yeast), 282 nucleotides long. Lineage: Eukaryota; Fungi; Ascomycota; Schizosaccharomycetes; Schizosaccharomycetales; Schizosaccharomycetaceae. The record is from the annotation of a GenBank genome assembly.